Molecule: small nucleolar RNA, 102 nt
Filed under: Volvox carteri f. nagariensis
Lineage: Eukaryota; Viridiplantae; Chlorophyta; Chlorophyceae; Chlamydomonadales; Volvocaceae
Description: Small nucleolar RNA snR60/Z15/Z230/Z193/J17
Rfam family: Small nucleolar RNA snR60/Z15/Z230/Z193/J17
About the family: The members of this family belong to the C/D class of snoRNAs which contain the C (UGAUGA) and D (CUGA) box motifs. Most of the members of the box C/D family function in directing site-specific 2'-O-methylation of substrate RNAs.
Source: Rfam by way of RNAcentral
GCCUCGGCUGUGAUGCUUAAUACACGCAUAGUUCAUCCGACGUGGGCUUACUACCCACAAUGCUGAACUAGAAUUGUCUUUCGCUCCUAUCUGAGCCGAGGU